RNAcentral lists this ribosomal RNA (255 nucleotides) under uncultured bacterium. Its description in RNAcentral is "partial 16S ribosomal RNA". It matches the Rfam family "Bacterial small subunit ribosomal RNA", at positions 524 to 776 of the family's 1533-position model. The record is from RNAcentral.
UACGUAGGGUGCAAGCGUUGUCCGGAAUUAUUGGGCGUAAAGAGCUCGUAGGCGGUCUGUCGCGUCUGCUGUGAAAACUCAGGGCUUAACCCUGAGCUUGCAGUGGGUACGGGCAGACUAGAGUGCGGUAGGGGAGACUGGAAUUCCUGGUGUAGCGGUGAAAUGCGCAGAUAUCAGGAGGAACACCGGUGGCGAAGGCGGGGUCUCUGGGCCGUAACUGACGCUGGAGGAGCGAAAGCAUGGGGAGCGAACAGG